This 213-nucleotide unclassified non-coding RNA is filed under the name Glomus sp. RNAcentral describes it as "partial contains 5.8S ribosomal RNA and internal transcribed spacer 2". Lineage: Eukaryota; Fungi; Glomeromycota; Glomeromycetes; Glomerales; Glomeraceae. The record is from RNAcentral.
GUGAAUCAUCGAAUUUUUGAGCGCAAAUUGCACUCUCCUCGGAUAGUAUGCCUGUUUGAGUUUCAGCCUAUAAAAAAUCGACAUCGUUGCUGUUUCGCGGUGGCGUUCGUCGGACAUUGUGUCAGCUUAAAUCCUUUUAAUUUAAGCGACUUAAAAUUUUCUUUUGAUUCCAUGAACGUUUCUAAGAUCUAUUGCGUUACACGGUUAAGGUAU